CAGUAGCCACGGUAAUACGUAGGGUGCGAGCGUCAAUCGGAAUUACUGGGCGUAAAGCGUGCGCAGGCGGUUGUGUAAGACAGGUGUGAAAUCCCCGGGCUUAACCUGGGAACUGCGCUUGUGACUGCACAGCUAGAGUAUGGCAGAGGGGGGUGGAAUUCCACGUGUAGCAGUGAAAUGCGUAGAGAUGUGGAGGAACACCGAUGGCGAAGGCAGCCCCCUGGGCCAAUACUGACGCUCAUGCACGAAAGCGUGGGGAGCAAACAGGAUUAGAUACCCCCGUAGUCCCUGUCUCUUAUAC
This 301-nucleotide ribosomal RNA is filed under the name uncultured bacterium. Its description in RNAcentral is "partial 16S ribosomal RNA". It matches the Rfam family "Bacterial small subunit ribosomal RNA", at positions 509 to 807 of the family's 1533-position model. The record is from RNAcentral.